This 392-nucleotide unclassified non-coding RNA is filed under the name soil metagenome. RNAcentral's name for it is "partial contains 5.8S ribosomal RNA, internal transcribed spacer 2, and large subunit ribosomal RNA". The stretch from base 1 to 122 matches the Rfam family "5.8S ribosomal RNA", at positions 35 to 154 of the family's 154-position model. The record is from RNAcentral.
GAUGAAGAACGUAGCGAAAUGCGAUACUUGGUGUGAAUUGCAGAAUCCCGUGAACCAUCGAGUCUUUGAACGCAAGUUGCGCCCGAAGCCAUUAGGCCGAGGGCACGCCUGCCUGGGCGUCACACGUCGUUGCCCCCCCCAUCUACUCCUUCGGGAUUGCGGGGGGCGGAUGAUGGCCUCCCGUGCGCCUCGCCGCGCGGAUGGCAUAAAUGCCAAGUCCUCGGCGACGCACGCCACGACAAUCGGUGGUUGCGAAACCUCGGUUGCCCGUCGUGUGCGGUCGUCGCGCAUCGAGGGCUCGAAAAAAUUGCCGAGUUCCGGCUCGGCUUUCAACGCGACCCCAGGUCAGGCGGGGUUACCCGCUGAAUUUAAGCAUAUCAAUAAGCGGAGGA